RNAcentral lists this ribosomal RNA (522 nucleotides) under uncultured bacterium. Its description in RNAcentral is "bacterial SSU rRNA". It matches the Rfam family "Bacterial small subunit ribosomal RNA", at positions 9 to 513 of the family's 1533-position model. The record is from RNAcentral.
GAGUUUGAUCCUGGCUCAGGAUGAACGCUGGCGGCGUGCCUAAUACAUGCAAGUCGAGCGAACAGAUAAGGAGCUUGCUCCUUUGACGUUAGCGGCGGACGGGUGAGUAACACGUGGGUAACCUACCUAUAAGACUGGAAUAACUCCGGGAAACCGGGGCUAAUGCCGGAUAAUAUUUAGAACCGCAUGGUUCUAAAGUGAAAGAUGGUUUUGCUAUCACUUAUAGAUGGACCCGCGCCGUAUUAGCUAGUUGGUGGGGUAAUGGCUUACCAAGGCAACGAUACGUAGCCGACCUGAGAGGGUGAUCGGCCACACUGGAACUGAGACACGGUCCAGACUCCUACGGGAGGCAGCAGUAGGGAAUCUUCCGCAAUGGGCGAAAGCCUGACGGAGCAACGCCGCGUGAGCGAUGGAGGUCUUCGGAUCGUAAAACUCUGUUAUUAGGGAAGAACAAAUGUGUAAGUAACUGUGCACGUCUUGACGGUACCUAAUCAGAAAGCCACGGCUAACUACGUGCCAGCA